Molecule: transfer RNA, 71 nt
Filed under: Marmota monax (woodchuck)
Lineage: Eukaryota; Metazoa; Chordata; Mammalia; Rodentia; Sciuridae
Description: tRNA.Thr
Source: RNAcentral
UGAGGAUAUAGCUCAGUUGGUAGAGUGGUUGCCUAGUAUACACAAGGUCCUGGGUUCAAUUCCCAGCACAA